CUGGGCUAGAAAAGGCCACGGACCUUCCACCAGUUUCUCUAGGUAGAGCUCCGGCUGUCCCUGUCUCUCAGCCACAGUACCAGACACGUGAGAAUGAAAGUUUUUGGCAUAACUACUGCUUCAACUAGCCUCUAACUACAACCUUGUGACAUCUGAAGUUAGUCCCCCCAGCAAUGACUGACUUAGUUCUGUGGCUUCUCAGUUUGAAUUGCUUGGUUGCUAUGCUCUCAUCUAUGAUUGUCGCCAGAGGCUGAGACUGACAUUGUCCAGGAAGAUCACUGCAGCAUCAAUAGCCAUGUAUUUCUUAUAAAAGAGGUCAAAUUGAUGAAGGACUGUGACUGCAUGGGACAAGGAGGGCUGCUGUGAAAGGCACAGACAAUUUUUACGUGCCAGCUUUCCUUAUAUUUGUCUGUUUCGUUAAUCAUGCGUCCAACCCAGAUCUCGCAGAUGUUGGAAGUGCAUGAGGAACAAAGGAUGGAGAAGCAGCUUGGAGGGGCAGGUUGAACUUCACCCAAGCACUCACUCUCCCAGGACUACAGUGUUGACAUGAGGAAGCCACCCGCUGUGCACUUGAGUCUUCGCAGUCUCCUGGGGUGAGUCCGCAAGCUGGAGACCCAGAUGCUGAUGGAUUAGUUCCAGUCUAAGUCCAAAGGCCUGAGAACCAAGAGAACUGAGACCUAAGAAAAGC
RNAcentral lists this long non-coding RNA (688 nucleotides) under Equus caballus (horse). RNAcentral's name for it is "lncRNA (ENSECAG00000053626.1)". Lineage: Eukaryota; Metazoa; Chordata; Mammalia; Perissodactyla; Equidae. The record is from RNAcentral.